This 5420-nucleotide long non-coding RNA is filed under the name Homo sapiens (human). Its description in RNAcentral is "non-protein coding lnc-MAMDC4-4:2". Lineage: Eukaryota; Metazoa; Chordata; Mammalia; Primates; Hominidae. The record is from RNAcentral.
CUGGCGAGGCGCGGUAGCCGCUGGGGCUGCAGGUCGGGAGGACCCCGGAGCCCGGGCCCCGCGGCCUCCGAGCACACGCGGGCGGCGGCUGCGCCCCGACGCGCAGCCCCCGUGCCUCCCCGGGCCCCGCACCCCGGCCGGGCCACGCGGGCGGAGGGGGCGCGGGGUCUCCGCUCUAGCCGUGCGGCCGCCCCCCUUUGUUUUGCCGCCUGCGCGGCUGGGACCUGCGCUCGAGGACCAGGGCCGUGGGGCCCGAAACGCAGCGUGGGGUGGGACACUUUUUUUUUUUUAACUUUUAUUUUUUGAGAUGGAGUCUUGCUCUAUCGCCCAGGCUGGGUGCCGUGGCGCGAUCUCGGCUCACUCCGUCUCCCGGGUUCAUGCCAUUCUCCUGCCUCAGCCUCCCGAGUACCUGGGACUACAGGCGCCAGCCACCACGCCCGGCUAAUUUAUUUAUUUUAUUUUAUUUUAUUUUUAGUAGAGACGGGCCAGGAUGGUCUCGAUCUCCUGAUCUCGUGAUCCGCAGGUGGGACUCUUUAAGAAAAAGAACGCAAGCCGGGCACGGUGGUUCACGCCUGUAGUCCCAGAACUUUGGGAGGCCGAGGCGGGCGUAUCACCUGAGGUCGGGAGUUCGAGACCAGCCUGACCAACAUGGAGAAACCCCGUCUCUACUAAAAAUACAAAAUUAGCCGGACGUGGUGGCGGGCACCUGUAAUCUCAGCUACUCGGGGAGGCUGAGGCAGAAGAAUCAGUUGAACCCGGGAGGCGGAGGUUGCGGUGAGCCGAGAUCGCGCUAUUGCACUCCAGCCUGGGCAACAAGAAUGAAACUGCGUUUCAAAAAAAAAGAAAAAGAAUGGAAAACUGUGAAAACAUCGGUUGCAAAAAUGAAUGGUUUUGCAUGAUGUUUAUUUUCUGUAAUGUAUAAAGUGUAUAUGUUAUAUGACAAUAAUUCUGUAAUACCCUAUUUUCCAGCCGUUUUGUAUAAUGAGAAAGGUCAUUAUACAUUAUCAUUGAACAACUUUUUUAGGAUUUUUAUUUUUAUAGACAGGGUCUCACUCUGUGGCCCACGCUGGAGCACAACAUUGAGAUCUCAGCUCACUGCAGCCUCGACGUCCUGCGCUCAAGCGAUGGGACUAUAGGCGCGGCCCCCACGCCUGGCUAAUUUUUGUAUUUUGUGGGGUAGAGAUGGGGUCUCCGUGCCGCCCUGGCUCGUCGGUCUGGAACUCCUGAGCUCGCGUGAUCCUCCCGCCUCGGCCUCCCAAAGCCUGGGAUUACAGGCUUGAGCCACCGCAGGCCCUAAUCAUAGUAUUGACUUCCGGGCUUUGAAUAGAUGCUCCACAAACAAGGAACCUGAUAAAUGCAGUCUCCAUCCAAAAAGAAAACAUACAUAAAUGCUGUAUUAAAUUGGAAAUGCUGCAUUAGCAAAUGCACUCCGCGGAGGAGACAACUGUAAUUCUAACCAGGCAGUGGGAAGUUGAGUCUUCUGCUUACCGUUUUUCACACCGGAUGAUUGGAAGAACCUUGGGGACACACUGAUGGCUCCGUCCAUACAAACCUUGCUUCUCUGUUUCCCGCCGACUUCCAGCACCAAGCUCCGUUCGGCUAAGGACUCAACAGCCUCAGCCGGCCAGCAAGGAUGUGCUUCCACUGAAUGAAAAUAAUCUCUUGUGGCCGGGCGCAGUGGCUCACUUCUGUAAUCCCAGCACUUUGGAAGGCCGAGGCGGAUGGAUCACGAGGUUGAGAGAUCGAGAUCAUCCUGGCCAACACGGUGAAACCCUGUCUCUAUUAAAAAUACAAAAAUCAGCUGGGCAUGGUGGUGCGUGCCUGUAGUCCCAGCUACUCAGGAGGCUGAGGCAGGAGAAUUGCUUGAACCGGGAGGCGGAGGUUGCAGUGAGUCGACGACACCGCACCAUUGCACUCCAGCCUAGGGACAGAGCAAGACUCUGCUGUCUCAGAAAAACAAAAAAAAGAAAGAAAGAAAAAGAAAAUAUCCCAUAAACUCUGACUGGAUGUAUCUCCACUCAAGUCCCCCUUUGUUGUGUGCCAAAAAUGCUUAUCGUCACUCCAGUGCCACCAGCCCCCAGGAAGAUUGUGAUGAAGGUGGAGUUGGCCUGGAAAGAGGCAGCCUUGUUAACACUGCAGUUCAGGCCUCCUAACAUGACAAACUUAACCAACACCUGAUCUCAUGAACGCAUUGGGAGGCCCUUUUCAGAGCCUGGGAGACCCAUGCAAGUGGGGCUCAGCUAGCUCCGUAGUGAGCCUGGGCUGAGAGAGAGGGGACAGCUACAUCUAGCUGUCCUCUGCAGGUGUCCACCAAGACAGCCGCUGUCCUCACUGCCCACUCCGUCCCACUCCAUCCCACUCCGUCCGUCCCACUCCGGGGUCGUUUGUUUGCACUCCCUCCUAUUCCUGGAUUCUUCCGACUUCGGGCCCAGAGGAAAGCAGCUGAUACAAAGAAGCAGCUUUGGGGGGUCUGGUGAGCCUCUCGUAUCUCACUGGAGAUGUUGCACCAGUCUGUCUACCAGUUAUCCAUUUAGCUUCAUGCAUGGAGAAAAGACAAUUCCAAAGACUUCUGGAGAAAAAAAGUCUCUUCAUUUCCAUCUGCAGAUCUUAGUGUCUCUCUGGCAUAAUUUCCCUCCAGCCUUUCUUCGGUCCUUUUAGUACCAUCUGCUGUAGUUUCAUCUUUCAUUUAACUGAAAAUGUCUCUAUUUUGCCCUUGUGUUUGAAGGAUACACUAUUGUAUAAACGUCAUCCCAUUGUCUUCCAACUUCCAUCCUUGCCAGUGAGAAUCAGUGAUCAGUCAUUUGUGUCCUGGUUCCCCAGCAGGUUAUGUGACAAUGUGGCAUGUCCUCUGGCUCUUUCAAGACUAUCCCUGUCUUCAGUUUUCUUUUUCUUUUCUUUUUCUUUUUUUUUUCUUUUUUUUUUUUUUUUGAGACAGGGCCUCACUCUGUUGCCCAGGCUGGAGUGCAGUGGCACAAUCAUGGCUCACUGCAGCCUCAACCUCCUGGGCUCAAGUGAUCCUCCCACCUCAGCCUCCCAAAAUACUGGAAUUACAGGCAUGUUCCAACACCCCCAGCCUGAUCUUCAGUUUUCUUAGCAUGUGCCUAAGCAUAUUUUCCUUUGUAUUUACCUUGCUUGGGUUCACUGAGCUGCUUUUUUAUUUUAUUUUUUUUUGAGAUGGAAUCUUGCUGUGUCACCCAGGCUGGAGUGCAGUGGCACGAUCUUGGCUUGCUACAACCUCCACCUCCUGGGUUCAUGCCCAGCUAAUUUUCUUUUCUUUUUUUUUUUUGAGAUGGAGUUUCGCUCUUGUCAUCCAGACUGGAGUGCAGUGACAUGAUCUAGGCUCACUGCAACCUCUGCCUCCCAGGUUCAAGUGAUUUUCCUGCCUCAGCCUCCUGAAUAGCUGGGAUUACAGGCACCUGCCACCACGCCUGACUAAUUUUUUGUGUUUUUAGUAGAGACGGGUUUCAUCAUGUUGGCCAGGCUGGUCUCAAACUUUUGACCUCAGGUGAUCCGCCCGCCUCGGCCUCCCAAAGUGUUGGGACUACAGGCGUGAGCCACCACAUCUGGCCCACUGAGCUUCUUAGGACUAUAUAGUACCACACAUUCACCAUGUCGGAAACAUUUUCCUACUAUUUAUUUAUUUAGAGACAAGGUCUCACUGUGGCAUCCAGGCUGGAAUGCAGUGGCGUGAUCACAGCUCACAGCAGGCCCAACCUCCCAGGCUUAAGCGAUCCUCCCACCUCAGCCUCCCACAAUGCAGCACUUUGGGAGGCCGAGGUGGGAAAUCGCUUAAGGCCAGGAGUUCGAGACCAGCCUGGGCAACAUGGUAAAACCCUGUCUCUACAAAAACAUACAAACAAUUAGCUGGGUGUGGUGAUGUGUGCCUGUGGUCCCAGCUACUCAGGAAGCUGCAGUAGGAGGAUCACUUGAACCUGGAAGGUCAAGCCUAUGGUGAACCAUGAUCAUGCCAUCGCACUCCAGCCUGGACAACAGUAAGACCCUGUCUCAGUAAAUAAAUAAAUAAUAAAAGUCUCACAGGACAGCUUGGAUUUUUAAAAAAUCAGUGGUCACCCCCUGUCCCUCUGCCCACCAUGUUCCCAAUCCCCAGAGGUUACUGCUUCCAAGUUUCACAGCUGCUUUGUACUUUUGGGUGUUCACUUCCACAUGUUUAAGUGACAUGCUUACUCCGCUCUCACUAUGUCUUCUUUUUUCUGUUUUUGAGACGGGGUCUCACACUGUCGCCUGGGAUGGAAUGCGGUGGCGCGAUCUUGUCUCACUGCAACCUCCGCCUCCCAGGUUCAAGCAAUUCUCCUGCCUCAGCCUCCCAAGUAGCCAGGACUACAGGCACAUGCCACCAAGCCCAGCUAAUUUUUGUAUUGUUAGUAGAGACGGGGUUUCACCAUAUUGCCCAGGAUGGUCUUGAACUCUUGACCUCAUGAUCUGCCUGAUUAGGCCUCCCAAAGUUCUGGGAUUACAGGUGUGCCCAGCCAAUAUCUCAGUUUUCAUAAGUAAUCUAGGUAAUCUGUUAAAAAUAAGUAUAUUAGUACACACAAUGCCAAUGUGCCCUAAAUACGUAAAUAAAUAAAUAAAUACAUUACGUAAAUGUAAAUCUGAUAAAUUCGUUAUUUUUUUGCGACAGAGUCUCACUCCAUCUGUUGCCCAAGCUUGAGUGCAUUGGCACAAUGUCAGCUCACUACAACCUCCACCUCCUGGGUUCAAGCGAUUCUCCUGCCUCAGCCUCCCGAGUAGCUGGGACUACAGGUGCACGCCACCACACCUGGCUAAAUUUUGUAUUUUUAGUAGAGAUGGUGUUUCACCAUGUCGGCCAGGCUGGUCUCGAACUCCUGACCUCAGGUAAUCCACCACCUCAGCCUCCCAAAGUGCUGUGAUUACAGGUGUGAGCCACCAAGCCCAGCCAAUUAAUUCUUAUAAAUGAACUUUUCAUGUACUUUAAAUUUUAAAGUUGUGUUAUGUUAAAUAACAGAUGUUCUUUAAGUGUGUGGAUCAUUUCCAUAUAACAUGUGCUUCUGAUGAGGAAAAAUAUAAAAAAGGCAUAAAAUGUGAUCUUUAUUUUUUUAAAGAAUAAUUUUGUCUAAUUUGGAGGUUAUUUCAAGGUUAUUUCCAAAUAUGAAAUAAGAUAGGAAUCAGUAAGCAGGAAAGAGAAAUGUGAAGUUAUGGAUAUGAAGAUAUAUUUUGGUAAGUAAGUUUAUAAAAAAGAAAUAGCCAGGCAUGGUGGCUCAUGCAUGUAAUCCCAACACUUUGGGAGGCCGGGGCAGGCGGAUCACAAGGUCAGGAGUUUGAGGCCAGCCUGGCCAAUAUGGUGAAACCCCAUCUCUACUAAAAAUACAAAACAGCCAGGCGUGGUGGUGGGUGCCUGUAGUCCCAGCUACUCAGGAAGCUGAGGCAGGAGAAUCACUUGA